Orcinus orca (killer whale) is the source of this 2858-nucleotide long non-coding RNA. RefSeq lists it as uncharacterized. The record is from RefSeq and is a predicted model, not a curated record. The transcript is spliced from 3 exons. NCBI's taxonomy places the organism in Eukaryota, Metazoa, Chordata, Mammalia, Artiodactyla, Delphinidae.
CUCCCAUUUUGGUGGCCUGAGAACACAUCAAUCACAGGCAUGUAGCUGUCGACAGCAACAACUGGAUACUGAGCAUCAAGCAGCAGGCGAGAAAUCUUGGGAUCUCUAAAGGGAGAGAAAUUGUGCACGAGUACUCAUGGACAGGAUCUAGGUCUUGCUAUCUGGAUCCAUCCACAGGAACUGUUAACAAAAGGUCUGGGCCCAGCAAGCGCACACCCACUAGACCAGUUUACCUGCUUAUCCCACCACGGAAAGAGAAGUAAGACAACACCUACACCUCAGUGGUGUGCUGAGAGGAUCAACUGAGGAUAUGAACUCAAGAGAUUUAAAGCAUGAGAAGGAUGUAAUGUUUCAUUGCUGUCUUGAAGAUGGAGAGGACCACGUGGCAAGAAAUGCAUGUGGCCUUACGGCCUUUAGGAACUGAGAGUGGACCCUGGCUGACCGCCAGCAAGGAAAUGGGACCGCAGUCCUACUACUGCAAGAACUGGAUUCUGUCAAUAAGAAUGAACUUGGAAGUGAAUUUUCCCUCAGAGCUUCCAGAUGAGAAUUUAGCUUGGCUGACACCUUGAUUGUAGCCUAUGAUACCCUAAGCAGAAAACCCAACCAUAACUUGCUGGACUUCAGAUCCACAGAACUGUGACUAAUAACUGGGUAUUCUUUUAAGCCAUUAAGUUUGUGGUUACUUGUUAUGCAGCAAUAGAAAACUAAUAUUCCCAUUAAUGCCACUACCCACAAAUACUGAUUAACAUUUUGAUAUAUUCUGGAUAGGUUUUUUGUGUGUGUGUGUGGCUACGCUGGGUCUUCGUUGCUGUGCACGGGCUUUCUCUAGUUGCAGCGAGCGGGGGCUACUCUUCGUUGUGGUGCACGGGCUUCUAAUUGUGGUGGCUUCUCUGUGUGGAACACAGGCUCUAGGUGUGCGGGCUUCAGUAGCUGUGGCUCGCAGGCUCUAGAGCGCAGGCUCAGUGGUUGUGGCGAACAGGCUUAACUGCUCCGCGGCACGUGGGAUCUUCCCGGACCAGGGCUUGGACCUGUGUCCCCUGCAUUGGCAGGCAGAUUCUUAACCACUGCGCCACCAGGGAAGUCCCCCGGAUAGUUUUUAAUCUAUGCAUACAUACAUCUAUAUAUGUAUGUGUGUGUGUAUAUAUAUAAAUUUUUUCUUUUGCAAAAAUGGUAUAUUAUGUAUACAGUUUUUUUGAAUUUUUAUUUUUUUAUACAGCAGGUUCUUUAUUAGUUAUCUAUUUUAUACAUAUUAGUGUAUACAUGUCAAUUCCAAUCGCCCAAUUCAUCACACCACCACCCCCACUUUCCCCCCUUCGUGUCCAUACGUUUGUUCUCUACAUCUGUGUCUCUACUUCUGCCUUGCAAACCAGUUCAUCUGUACCAUUUUUCUAGAUUCCACGUAUAUGCAUUAAUAUAUAUUUGUUUUUCUCUUUCUGACUUACCUCACUCUGUAUGACAGUCUCUAGGUCCCUCCACAUCUCUACAAAUGACCCAAUUAUGUAUACUGUUUUAUAACUGCUUUUUCACUUAAUAAUAUGAAUUAACUUUUUCUAUGUAAAUAAUGGCUAUAUAAGUAUGUAUUUUUGUUUUUACUUAUUUAAAAAAAAACCUCUUUGGGAUUCAGUCAGAAAAUGGCUGUCUUGUUUAUUCAGUGAGAAAGGGUGAGGAAAACAUGGUCUGCUAGCAUUGAAAAUUUGGUUAAGGAAGCUUGCUAUGUGACAGGAAGCCCUCCUCCUUUUAGUUUCUAGUUAAUACUUGGCUUAAUUUGAUAUGGUUUAAAGUUCUUUAAUGAGGUGGGCACACUCAAUAAAUGCUUUAUGAAUAAAGUAGUUAAUGACAAGCAGUGUCAAUAAUAAAUUUCAUUUGAUUUCAGGGCCAUGUAGAAAAACAGUUUUUCUACUGAUACCCAAAAUGUCCCUAGAGAUAUUUGGUACUUGGUACUUUAUAAUCUAACCACACACAACUAUAUUUAAUUCCUUAAACACAAUACUUCCUUUGUGCUCUCAAAGUUCUGCGUAUCUGACUCCAUCAAAGAAUUACCAUGCAGUAUUAAAAUUGUCUAUCUCACCCAAACAACUUUGAGACGAGAGAUUGGCUUUUGUUGGUCUUUGUAUGCUCGGUACCUAGUAUAUAUCAGGAAUUUGAUUAAAUGUUUCAAUAAAUACUUCCACUGUUGCAUAUAUCAUACAAAAUUGUACUGUAUCUGCUUUAGAGUCUGUUUCCUUUACUACAAUGCAUUCAUUAAGUCAGGGACUAUCUUAUUUAUCACUGUAACCCCAAUACUCAAAACAAUGGCUGACACAAAAUAGGCACUCAAAAGAUAUCUGCUGAAUUGAACUGAGCUUAAAGUUUUCAUCCCUGCUAAAUAAAAUUUCCCUGGGAAUAGUAAUAUUUUAAGAGUGACUUAAUUAGUCAUUAACAUUUGAAUAGGAAUAGGUACUUAAGAUACUUUACAAUAGCAGGUUUUUAAAAAGAAAUAAACAUUGCAGACAACAAGUAGGACAAAUCUGAGCAAGGGUGGUCUAUUCAUUGGCCUCCAAGUGGUUUCUUCCUUGAAACAGCCAUUCUUAGAAUAGUUUCUCUAAAGUCUAAGGCAUGGCAACAAUACCACCUUAACUCCCCUUAAGAGGAAGCUGGUUCCACACUAAAAGAGCUGUCAUGGCAUCUUCCUGCACCUCAACUCAAUAAUUAUUUUUUUAACACAAGGGAAGGGCACUUAGCUGAGUUCAUGACAAACGUUUCCCUUGUUUAUUUCCUACAUGCCAUGGGCACAGCCCCUGCUAAACAGGGAGGUACACAGCUUUUGGUUUUUGUUCCUACUCCUUGUUAUCUAUUCUAAACCCCAACUCUUAACAAAC